UGCUGAAUACAACAGGUGUAGUAGACCUUACAGUGAAAUGCUGAAUACAACAGGUGUAGUAGACCUUACAGUGAAAUGCUGAACAGAACAGGUGUAGUAGACCUCACUGUGAAAUGCUGAAUACAACAGGUGUAGUAGACCUUACAGUGAAAUGCUUAAUACAACAGGUGUAGUAGACCUCACAGUGAAAUGCUGAAUACAACAGGUGUAGUAGACCUUACAGUGAAAUGCUUAAUACAACAGGUGUAGUAGACCUCAAAGUGAAAUGCUGAAUACAACAGGUGUAGUAGACCUUACAGUGAAAUGCUGAAUACAACAGGUGUAGUAGACCUCACUGUGAAAUGCUGAAUACAACAGGUGUAGUAGACCUCACAGUGAAAUGCUGAAUACAACAGGUGUAGUAGACCUUACAGUGAAAUGCUGAAUAGAACAGGUGUAGUAGACCUCACUGUGAAAUGCUGAAUACAACAGGUGUAGUAGACCUUACAGUGAAAUGCUGAAUAGAACAGGUGUAGUAGACCUCACAGUGAAAUGCUGAAUACAACAGGUGUAGUAGACCUUACAGUGAAAUGCUUAAUACAACAGGUGUAGUAGACCUCAAAGUGAAAUGCUGAAUACAACAGGUGUAGUAGACCUUACAGUGAAAUGCUGAAUACAACAGGUGUAGUAGACCUCAAAGUGAAAUGCUGAAUACAACAGGUGUAGUAGACCUUACAGUGAAAUGCUGAAUACAACAGGUGUAGUAGACCUCAAAGUGAAAUGCUGAAUACAACAGGUGUAGUAGACCUUACAGUGAAAUGCUGAAUACAACAGGUGUAGUAGACCUCACUGUGAAAUGCUGAAUACAACAGGUGUAGUAGACCUCACAGUGAAAUGCUGAAUACAACAGGUGUAGUAGACCUUACAGUGAAAUGCUGAAUAGAACAGGUGUAGUAGACCUCACUGUGAAAUGCUGAAUACAACAGGUGUAGUAGACCUCACAGUGAAAUGCUGAAUACAACAGGUGUAGUAGACCUUACAG
Oncorhynchus keta (chum salmon) is the source of this 1021-nucleotide long non-coding RNA. RefSeq lists it as uncharacterized. The record is from RefSeq and is a predicted model, not a curated record. NCBI's taxonomy places the organism in Eukaryota, Metazoa, Chordata, Actinopteri, Salmoniformes, Salmonidae. The transcript has 3 exons.